GACGAACGCUGGCGGCGUGCUUAACACAUGCAAGUCGAACGGAAAGGCCCUGCUUUUGUGGGGUGCUCGAGUGGCGAACGGGUGAGUAACACGUGAGUAACCUGCCCUUGACUUUGGGAUAACUUCAGGAAACUGGGGCUAAUACCGGAUAGGAGCUCCUGCUGCAUGGUGGGGGUUGGAAAGUUUCGGCGGUUGGGGAUGGACUCGCGGCUUAUCAGCUUGUUGGUGGGGUAGUGGCUUACCAAGGCUUUGCCGGGUAGCCGGCCUGAGAGGGUGACCGGCCACAUUGGGACUGAGAUACGGCCCAGACUCCUACGGGAGGCAGCAGUGGAGAAUAUUGCACAAUGGGCGGAAGCCUGAUGCAGCAACGCAGCGUGCGGGAUGACGGCCUUCGGGUUGUAAACCGCUUUCGCCUGUGACGAAGCGUGAGUGACGGUAAUGGGUAAAGAAGCACCGGCUAACUACGUG
This 468-nucleotide ribosomal RNA is filed under the name uncultured bacterium. RNAcentral describes it as "partial 16S ribosomal RNA". It matches the Rfam family "Bacterial small subunit ribosomal RNA", at positions 28 to 507 of the family's 1533-position model. The record is from RNAcentral.